UGGUGGAGGGAAUGGUGAAGGAGGUGGUGGAACAACUGGAGACGGAUAAGGUAAGGGUGGAGGAGGGGAUGGUGGAUGAGGUGGUGGAACGGUUGGAGAUGGAUAAGGAUAUGGUGCAAAAGGUGGUUGAGGGGAUGGGGGCGGAGGUGGUGGAGGGAAUAGUGGAACGUCUGGAGAUGGCGGAGGGGAUGGUGGAGGAGGUGGUGGAACGAUCGGAGACGGAUAAGGAAAUGGUGCAGAAGGCGGUGGAGGGGGUGGAGGGGAUGGUGGAGUAGGUGGUGGAAUGGCUGGAGACGGAUAAGGAGAUGGCUCGGAAGGUGGUGGAGGGGGCGGAGACGGAGAUGGUGCAGAAGGUGGUGGAGGGGGAGAAGUAGAUGGAGGAGGUGCAGAAGGUGGUGGAGGGGGAGAAGGGGAUGGAGGAGGUGGUGGAAUGGCUGAAGAUGGGGGAGUGGGCAGAGGGAAUGGUGGAGGAGGUGGUUGAACGGCCGGAGAUGGAUAAGGAGAUAAUACAAAAGAUAAUUCCUUCGUCGGAUAAGAAGCCAAUGAAUUAAUGGCACAAACACCAUAUGGCAAAUCACCGUUUCUUCUUAUAUAUCCAUACCCCUCCACUCCCCAUGAUGUACCCCAUGAAUUCUUGAUUAUCCAGUAGUCAU
Molecule: long non-coding RNA, 653 nt
Filed under: Solanum tuberosum (potato)
Lineage: Eukaryota; Viridiplantae; Streptophyta; Magnoliopsida; Solanales; Solanaceae
Description: long non-coding RNA (STUB_LNC002993)
Source: RNAcentral